RNAcentral lists this long non-coding RNA (1585 nucleotides) under Rhipicephalus microplus (southern cattle tick). Its description in RNAcentral is "uncharacterized LOC119169522". The record is from RNAcentral. Lineage: Eukaryota; Metazoa; Arthropoda; Arachnida; Ixodida; Ixodidae.
UGGCGGGCGUGCGAAGCAGCGUUUGAAGUGGACGGCAGCUCGUUAGGAUUUGAACAAAAAGACGCUGAAGGGUCCUUACUGCGCCCUUGUCUUUACGCGCUGCCGUUUGCUUCAAACUUUGCAACACCGAGUUGCCCAACCUCGUACGCUUUUGGAAGUUUUCUACAUUUCGCGGUUUCCGCGGGCCUCGCUGCUGCCUCGUGGUAACGCGCGAUCGCCCCGGGGUUGCGUGCUUUGACAAGUGUUCUCUGCGCGGACCUUGUCAGGGACCACAUGGCCCUGCAGCUCGCCCGGGUGUUGCCGCACGUCGACUUCGCUGCUGACCGACUCACUUCGCCCAGCGUUGAGCCCUCAACAGUGGUAUGCGUUGCCGGUAGCAGACUUGACUGGCUGCUCUUCCAAGGAGAGCUUGCCUCUCGGGCGAAAAACCAACCGGGUUGUGCCUGCCGGCAGUGCGGUGAGUCGCUUGCUUUUUUGCUCGUCAGAGCGUGUUGUGCUAGCAGAUGCGUCGCCUCCUUGAGUGUGGUUCGAGUGUUUGCACACGGUGCGCUGGCCUUUCUGGUGUUUGGCUGUGCUGGAGUCUAGGCCGCUGAAAGGGGUUUUGAGGCCCAAUUAGAACUUGGAGCUCGAUUGCGAUAAGCACGAAGCACAGUUUGCCACUCACAAAAGUUGUUGUCUUGCUGGUUGAUGGUCUCUUUAUCCACUGUGUCCUCCAUAGCUAUGGUGGCUAGACGGGGAUGUGUGGUGGACGGGCAACAAAAGUUGGCCGCCAUUCGCGUGAAUGACAUGGGGUAGCACAGCGGUCAGGGGCGCCAUCAGGGAUCGCGGCUGUUCUGUGCGCUCGGCUGGGACAACGCUUCACUGCAGUGCAAACGUGUUACCGAAUUAUAUACAACUUUAGCUUAUAAUGCAGUUCUUCAGCAUCGCACGCACACAGUGGGAUUUUCAAAUACGAGGUAUACAGUUAUCUUCCAACGGAAAGCAAACAAGCCUUUCGGGAAUGCCUCAUUGAUGAACUACUAUACCCGGCGACAACUUUCUGUGGCAGCACGGCCAAGGCUACGUGGGCGGAGCCUAUGCGCAAGUGCUACUGCGCCAAGUAGUCCGACCGCUUCGACGGGUGUUUCGGUUUCGAUUUCACCAGCGCAGUCCGCGUCAGCGCAUUCCCACAACGGUGCCAUGUGAAAAUGCGGUGAAUUACGAUCUGCGCGCAAGCACCAUCGAGCUUAAUCACGCGUGAAUGGCGUUCAUUGAAGGCAUAUACACAUGUAUAUCUAUCUAAUUUGCAAGAGUGAUCUAACUGUUCAUAAAAUUUAUUUUAUUUGCAGCAGUAUUUGAAAAAAAAUUUAUGGAUUCGGCAAUAAGUACUCAAUUUGAUGUUCAUCUCGUCCGGAAAAGACACAGGCUGUGUCUAAACGCAGCGCGACGACUUGUAAUGCGAUCUUUUACUGCGAAGGAAUAUAGCAAAGCGUAAAGCCCUCUACGAGAACAGACUCUAUUUGUAACGAAUGUCGGCGCACUUUUAUUGUGGGAAAAACAUUAAAGGGACCGAUAAGCUCAGGAUAGGGUGGAUUGCAAAUCGUUG